This 569-nucleotide ribosomal RNA is filed under the name Achroiostachys humicola. RNAcentral's name for it is "partial large subunit ribosomal RNA". Lineage: Eukaryota; Fungi; Ascomycota; Sordariomycetes; Hypocreales; Stachybotryaceae. The record is from RNAcentral.
CGGCGAGUGAAGCGGCAACAGCUCAAAUUUGAAAUCUGGCCCCAGGCCCGAGUUGUAAUUUGCAGAGGAUGCUUUUGGCGAGGUGCCUUCCGAGUUCCCUGGAACGGGACGCCAUAGAGGGUGAGAGCCCCGUCUGGUCGGACACCGAGCCUCUGUAAAGCUCCUUCGACGAGUCGAGUAGUUUGGGAAUGCUGCUCUAAAUGGGAGGUAUAUGUCUUCUAAAGCUAAAUACCGGCCAGAGACCGAUAGCGCACAAGUAGAGUGAUCGAAAGAUGAAAAGCACUUUGGAAAGAGAGUUAAAUAGCACGUGAAAUUGUUGAAAGGGAAGCGUUUACGACCAGACUUGGGCCGGUUGAUCAUCCAGCGUUCUCGCUGGUGCACUCUGCCGGCCCAGGCCAGCAUCAGUUCGCCCCGGGGGAUAAAGGCGGCGGGAAUGUGGCUCCUCGGAGUGUUAUAGCCCGCCGUGCAAUACCYUGAGGUGGACUGAGGUUCGCGCUCUGCAAGGAUGCUGGCGUAAUGGUCGUCAACGACCCGUCUUGAAACACGGACCAAGGAGUCGUCUUCGUAUG